Molecule: ribosomal RNA, 116 nt
Filed under: Pteropus alecto (black flying fox)
Lineage: Eukaryota; Metazoa; Chordata; Mammalia; Chiroptera; Pteropodidae
Source: RNAcentral
UUCUACAGCCAUGUCACCCUGAAAGUGCCUGAUCUCGUCUGAUCUCGGAAGUUAAGCAGGGUCGGGCCUGGUUAGUACUUGGAAUAAUGUCUAACUGAUAGAGUUCUGGGAAGAUU